Molecule: ribosomal RNA, 253 nt
Filed under: uncultured bacterium
Lineage: Bacteria
Description: partial 16S ribosomal RNA
Rfam family: Bacterial small subunit ribosomal RNA
Source: RNAcentral
UACGUAGGGUGCAAGCGUUAAUCGGAAUUACUGGGCGUAAAGCGAGCGCAGGCGGUUCUGUAAGAUAGAUGUGAAAGCCCCGGGCUCAACCUGGGAAUUGCAUUUAUGACUGCGGAGCUAGAGUGUGUCAGAGGGAGGUGGAAUUCCGCGUGUAGCAGUGAAAUGCGUAGAUAUGCGGAGGAACACCGGUGGCGAAGGCGGCCUCCUGGGAUAACACUGACGCUCAUGCUCGAAAGCGUGGGGAGCAAACAGG